UGAAACUGACCAUUUAAUUGUAGAUGAUGACUUAAUGGUGGCACCAAUAUACUUUUGUGUGUGUGUGUGUGUGUGUGUGUGUGUGUUUAUAUUACCCCAGAGAAGUAGCCCCAUUUUAGAUGACAGAUCCAAAAAAGGUAGAGUUGGAUUUGCUGCACAGAAAAGAUGAUAGGAGAUUGGGGGAGACCGUUUAAAGUGAAGCUAUUCAGAUUUGUGGUUAAGGGUAGGCUAUGAAAUUUUUCUUGGAAAGAGGAGAAAAUUAGAGAAAUAUUGGUGGAUCAAUAGGAUUGAAACAUUGGCAUAUUGAGGGCAUAAGCCAGAAGGACAAAGUGUGUAAUGUCAGACUUUAUUUUUUUCAGAGGUCACAGAUAGUCCUAGUUUUAAGUUCUACGGAGUGGCAAUCACUGACCUGGAAUGAGGGUAACUGGCUCUAAGAUGAGAAAGGGUGCAUGAGAGGUCAGGUUAUUGGAUGGCCUAUUCAGCUGGAUGUUGGGUCCUCCAAGUGAUUCCUCCCACUUAAAGCCCCUUGUUCUGAAAAUCAAUCCACCUCUUUCUUCUCCAAAAGACUCCCCAGAAUCAACAUUCUUCCUGCAACUCUAUGCUUACUAAAUGACAUCACUUUGGAGAAUAAAGCAGAAAUGGAAUGGUAAGAAAGAAUGCUGUGGUAGACAUCUGUUUCGGUUUUGUUUUUGUCACCUAGCAUUCACUCACCUUAUUGCCCUCUGGGGAACUAACUCCGUUCUCAGUUUCAGACCAUGAGCAAGUGAAGUUGUCUUUCCUCUCUACUCUUAUUUUAAGGAUGAUAUAUAACUCAGAA
This 817-nucleotide long non-coding RNA is filed under the name Marmota monax (woodchuck). The record is from RNAcentral. Lineage: Eukaryota; Metazoa; Chordata; Mammalia; Rodentia; Sciuridae.